Gekko japonicus is the source of this 259-nucleotide long non-coding RNA. RefSeq lists it as uncharacterized. The transcript is spliced from 4 exons. Lineage: Eukaryota; Metazoa; Chordata; Lepidosauria; Squamata; Gekkonidae. The record is from RefSeq and is a predicted model, not a curated record.
CGUCUCUGUCCUAGACAAGAAACCUGGCUCAGAUACAGCUGUACAGGCUGUGGUCCUUGACUGCAGUGGAGUGGCCUUUGUCGAUUCAGCCGGGGCACGUCUCCUUAUCCAGGUGUGCAUUGAAUGCCAAAAAGCAGGCAUGCAGGUGCAUUUGGCUGCUUGCAAUGCAAAUGUCCUGCGCACCCUACGCUCUUGUGGCCUCCUGCAUCACCUACGCCCGCAGCAGAUUUUUGUCAGUGUUCACGACGCUACGUCCUAC